UACGGGGGGGGCAAGCGUUGUUCGGAAUUACUGGGCGUAAAGGGCGCGUAGGCGGCCUGAUAAGUAGGGGGUGAAAUCCUGCGGCUUAACCGCAGGGCUGCCUUCUAAACUGUCAGGCUGGAGCACAGUAGAGGCAGGUGGAAUUCCCGGUGUAGCGGUGGAAUGCGUAGAGAUCGGGAAGAACAUCAGUGGCGAAGGCGGCCUGCUGGACCAUAACUGACACUCAGGGACGAAAGCUAGGGGAGCGAAUGGG
RNAcentral lists this ribosomal RNA (253 nucleotides) under uncultured bacterium. RNAcentral's name for it is "partial 16S ribosomal RNA". It matches the Rfam family "Bacterial small subunit ribosomal RNA", at positions 524 to 776 of the family's 1533-position model. The record is from RNAcentral.